AGAAUGAGUUUUCUUGGUCCUCAAAUGAUGGUUGAGGGAACUCUUGCAGUUCGUUAAGCUUGAUAGUUUCAAAGUUCGAAGAUGAGAAAUAACUGUCAGGGUUAUCUGUACACCCUUUAACAUUCAUUGUAUUUUGAGGUCCACUGUCAUUCUGAACAUUUAUCUCAAAAUCUAUAUUUCCAGCCUUUGUAGUUGCAUCAUUGGUUGGCCUUGAUUGGAUGUCUGAGCAAAACCUUUGGUUUCAUCUAGAGGAAUUGCAGGUGUGUGUCCUUGGAAAAGGGAAAUGUGCCCGAAAAGCUUGUCUUUCCUGGAAAAGGUUGUUCCACAAGAACAAAGCCAUUUAUCUUUACCACAAUGUUUCUCAUGUGUUCUAAGAUCUGCAAUAACUGAAAAUUUCUUCAAAUUGCACCUACUACAAGCAUAUCUUUUCUCACAGUGAGUUCUUCUGUAAUGGUUUUUCACACAUAAGA
Molecule: unclassified non-coding RNA, 470 nt
Filed under: Hevea brasiliensis (rubber tree)
Lineage: Eukaryota; Viridiplantae; Streptophyta; Magnoliopsida; Malpighiales; Euphorbiaceae
Source: RNAcentral